GGAAGUAAAAGUCGUAACAAGAUUUCCGUAGGUGAACCUGCGGAAGGAUCAUUAUUGGAUUUUGAAACUUCAGGCUGCUGCUGGCUCUCCUCGGAGGGCAUGUGCACGCUUGUUGUCCAUUAUUUCUCCCACUGUGCACAAAUUGUAGACCUUUCAGUAGGCCUAUGUUGUUUUUCACAAUCUCUGAAUGUAAUAGAAUGGUUUUGAAUCUUGGGAAAUACAAUACAACUUUCAGCAACGGAUCUCUUGGCUCUC
Molecule: unclassified non-coding RNA, 255 nt
Filed under: plant metagenome
Description: partial contains small subunit ribosomal RNA, internal transcribed spacer 1, and 5.8S ribosomal RNA
Rfam family: Eukaryotic small subunit ribosomal RNA (bases 1-54)
Source: RNAcentral